This 433-nucleotide long non-coding RNA is filed under the name Homo sapiens (human). RNAcentral describes it as "HSALNT0171888". The record is from RNAcentral. Lineage: Eukaryota; Metazoa; Chordata; Mammalia; Primates; Hominidae.
UUAUUUUUUUGAUGAGGUCUUUCCAGAUGAGAUCUAUUUUGCAAGACUGGUAUGAAGUUUAAAUGAGAGGGUAGUAUGUAUAAGACACAGCAUCAGCAUCAUGGUAUCUGACAGUCACUGAUGUUUGUACUGUGUCAAUUACCGUUCCCAAUGUGGAUCCAGGAUAGGAUUCACUACAGAAGAAUUUCGUGUAAGUUUGGAAGGAGCAGUGGAGAAUUAAGAAGAAAGGAAGAAGGAAAGAGGACCACAUUGCAGAGUUUUUUGCAGGGAAGGGACAGUCGGAAAAGUCUGCAUACAUUAUGUAAUUACACACCUGAAGAUAGUAUGUCAAGGGUUAGAUGGCUGAAGAGAUGAGGAAAGAUUGGAAACACGGGAAGGAGAAGGAAGCUGCUCUGAAGGCUUGCUGUAUCAUUCUGAGUGGUAACUCAGCAGC